Molecule: microRNA precursor, 204 nt
Organism: Oryza sativa Japonica Group (Japanese rice)
Lineage: Eukaryota; Viridiplantae; Streptophyta; Magnoliopsida; Poales; Poaceae
Rfam family: MIR812 microRNA precursor family
Source: Rfam
UAAAAAAACAAACCCUGGUUUCCAUGCCCAGAGUUUGACCAUCCGUCUUAUUUAAAAUAAUUAAAAAAAAAUUAAAAAUACAAGUCACGCAUAAAAUAUUAAUCAUGUUUUAUCAUCUAACAAUAAUGAAAAUACGAAUUAUAAAAAACCUCAUAUAAGACGGACAGUCAAAGUUGGACACGAAAACCUAGGGUUUAUUUUUUU